UACGGAGGAUGCGAGCGUUAUCCGGAUUUACUGGGUGUAAAGGGAGCGUAGACGGCGCGGCAAGUCUGAAGUGAAAGGCAGGGGCUUAACCCCUGAACUGCUUUGGAAACUGCCAUGCUAGAGUGCUGGAGAGGUAAGUGGAAUUCCUAGUGUAGCGGUGAAAUGCUUAGAUAUCACGAAGAACUCCGAUUGCGAAGGCAGCUCACUGGACUGCAACUGACACUGAGGCUCGAAAGCGUGGGGAGCAAACAGG
RNAcentral lists this ribosomal RNA (253 nucleotides) under uncultured Lachnospiraceae bacterium. Its description in RNAcentral is "partial 16S ribosomal RNA". It matches the Rfam family "Bacterial small subunit ribosomal RNA", at positions 524 to 776 of the family's 1533-position model. Lineage: Bacteria; Bacillati; Bacillota; Clostridia; Lachnospirales; Lachnospiraceae. The record is from RNAcentral.